GGUCAAGCGAACAAGUGCAUGUGGUGGAUGCCUUGGCGAUCACAGGCGAUGAAGGACGCGGUAGCCUGCGAAAAGCUACGGGGAGCUGGCAAACAAGCUUUGAUCCGUAGAUGUCCGAAUGGGGAAACCCACUCCUUUUGGAGUAUCCAUGGCUGAAUACAUAGGCCAUGUGAAGCGAACGCGGUGAACUGAAACAUCUAAGUAACCGCAGGAAAAGAAAUCAACCGAGAUUCCCAAAGUAGUGGCGAGCGAAAUGGGAUGAGCCUUGCACUCUUUAUUUGUAUUGUUAGCCGAACGCUCUGGAAAGUGCGGCCAUAGCAGGUGAUAGCCCUGUAGGCGAAAACAGUAUGAAAGAACUAGGUGUGCGACAAGUAGGGCGGGACACGUGAAAUCCUGUCUGAAGAUGGGGGGACCAUCCUCCAAGGCUAAAUACUCGUGAUCGACCGAUAGUGAACCAGUACCGUGAGGGAAAGGCGAAAAGAACCCCGGGAGGGGAGUGAAAUAGAUCCUGAAACCGCAUGCAUACAAACAGUCGGAGCCUCGUAAGGGGUGACGGCGUACCUUUGUAUAAUGGGUCAGCGACUUACGUUCAGUAGCAAGCUUAACCGUAUAGGGCAGGCGUAGCGAAAGCGAGUCCGAAUAGGGCGUUCAGUUGCUGGGCGUAGACCCGAAACCAGGUGAUCUAUCCAUGGCCAGGAUGAAGGUGCGGUAACACGUACUGGAGGUCCGAACCCACUAACGUUGAAAAGUUAGGGGAUGAGCUGUGGAUAGGGGUGAAAGGCUAAACAAACCUGGAAAUAGCUGGUUCUCUCCGAAAACUAUUUAGGUAGUGCCUCGUGUCUCACCUUCGGGGGUAGAGCACUGUCAUGGUUGGGGGGUCUAUUGCAGAUUACCCCGCCAUAGCAAACUCCGAAUACCGAAGAGUGCAAUCACGGGAGACAGACAUCGGGUGCUAACGUCCGGUGUCAAGAGGGAAACAACCCAGACCGCCAGCUAAGGUCCCCAAAUAUAGCUAAGUGGGAAACGAAGUGGGAAGGCUAAAACAGUCAGGAGGUUGGCUUAGAAGCAGCCACCCUUUAAAGAAAGCGUAAUAGCUCACUGAUCGAGUCGUCCUGCGCGGAAGAUGUAACGGGGCUAAGCUAUAUACCGAAGCUGCGGAUGCGAGCUUUGCUCGCAUGGUAGGAGAGCGUUCCGUAAGCCUGCGAAGGUGCCUUGUAAAGGGUGCUGGAGGUAUCGGAAGUGCGAAUGCUGACAUGAGUAGCGAUAAAGGGGGUGAAAGGCCCCCUCGCCGUAAGCCCAAGGUUUCCUACGCAACGUUCAUCGGCGUAGGGUGAGUCGGCCCCUAAGGCGAGGCAGAAAUGCGUAGCUGAUGGGAAGCAGGUCAAUAUUCCUGCACCAUUGUUAGAUGCGAUGGGGGGACGGAUCGCGGAAGGUUGUCCGGGUGUUGGAAGUCCCGGUCGCUGCAUUGGAGAAGGCGCUUAGGCAAAUCCGGGCGCGGAAUUCAAGGGUGUGGCGCGAGCUCCUUAGGGAGCGAAGCAAUUGGAAGUGGUUCCAAGAAAAGCCUCUAAGCUUCAGUCUAACGAUGACCGUACCGCAAACCGACACAGGUGGGCGAGAUGAGUAUUCUAAGGCGCUUGAGAGAACUCGGGAGAAGGAACUCGGCAAAUUGGUACCGUAACUUCGGGAUAAGGUACGCCCUUGUAGCUUGACUGGCUUGCGCCAGAAGGGUGAAGGGGUUGCAAUAAACUGGUGGCUGCGACUGUUUAAUAAAAACACAGCACUCUGCAAACACGAAAGUGGACGUAUAGGGUGUGACGCCUGCCCGGUGCCGGAAGAUUAAAUGAUGGGGUGCAAGCUCUUGAUUGAAGUCCCGGUAAACGGCGGCCGUAACUAUAACGGUCCUAAGGUAGCGAAAUUCCUUGUCGGGUAAGUUCCGACCUGCACGAAUGGCGUAACGAUGGCCACACUGUCUCCUCCCGAGACUCAGCGAAGUUGAAGUGUUUGUGAUGAUGCAAUCUACCCGCGGCUAGACGGAAAGACCCCAUGAACCUUUACUGUAGCUUUGCAUUGGACUUUGAACCGAUCUGUGUAGGAUAGGUGGGAGGCUAUGAAACCGGAACGCUAGUUUCGGUGGAGCCGUCCUUGAAAUACCACCCUGGUUUGUUUGAGGUUCUAACCUUGGCCCGUGAUCCGGGUCGGGGACAGUGCAUGGUAGGCAGUUUGACUGGGGCGGUCUCCUCCCAAAGCGUAACGGAGGAGUACGAAGGUACGCUAGGUACGGUCGGAAAUCGUGCUGAUAGUGCAAUGGCAUAAGCGUGCUUAACUGCGAGACCGACAAGUCGAGCAGGUGCGAAAGCAGGUCAUAGUGAUCCGGUGGUUCUGUAUGGAAGGGCCAUCGCUCAACGGAUAAAAGGUACUCUGGGGAUAACAGGCUGAUACCGCCCAAGAGUUCAUAUCGACGGCGGUGUUUGGCACCUCGAUGUCGGCUCAUCUCAUCCUGGGGCUGUAGCCGGUCCCAAGGGUAUGGCUGUUCGCCAUUUAAAGAGGUACGUGAGCUGGGUUUAAAACGUCGUGAGACAGUUUGGUCCCUAUCUGCCGUGGGCGUUGGAUAUUUGAAGGGGGCUGCUCCUAGUACGAGAGGACCGGAGUGGACGAACCUCUGGUGUACCGGUUGUCACGCCAGUGGCAUCGCCGGGUAGCUAUGUUCGGAAGAGAUAACCGCUGAAAGCAUCUAAGCGGGAAACUCGCCUUAAGAUGAGAUAUCCCUGGGGACUAGAUCCCCUUGAAGGGUCGUUCGAGACCAGGACGUUGAUAGGUCAGGUGUGUAAGCGCAGUAAUGCGUUCAGCUAACUGAUACUAAUUGCCCGUAAGGCUUGAUCCU
RNAcentral lists this ribosomal RNA (2881 nucleotides) under Burkholderia contaminans. Its description in RNAcentral is "23S ribosomal RNA". It matches the Rfam family "Bacterial large subunit ribosomal RNA". The record is from RNAcentral. Lineage: Bacteria; Pseudomonadati; Pseudomonadota; Betaproteobacteria; Burkholderiales; Burkholderiaceae.